RNAcentral lists this ribosomal RNA (388 nucleotides) under Chlorodendrales sp. RNAcentral describes it as "partial small subunit ribosomal RNA". It matches the Rfam family "Eukaryotic small subunit ribosomal RNA", at positions 582 to 975 of the family's 1831-position model. Lineage: Eukaryota; Viridiplantae; Chlorophyta; Chlorodendrophyceae; Chlorodendrales. The record is from RNAcentral.
AUUCCAGCUCCAAUAGCGUAUAUUUAAGUUGUUGCAGUUAAAAAGCUCGCAGUUGGAUUUCGGAUGGGAUUUGCCGGUCCGUCUUUGAGAUGUGUACUGGUAAGUCUUAUCUUGCUGUCGGGGACUAGCUCCUGGGCUUCACUGUCCGGGACCAGGAGCCGACGAAGUUACUUUGAGUAAAUUAGAGUGUUCAAAGCAAGCCUACGCUCUGAAUAUAUUAGCAUGGAAUAACACGAUAGGACUCUGGCUUAUCUUGUUGGUCUGUGAGACCAGAGUAAUGAUUAAGAGGGACAGUCGGGGACAUUCGUAUUUCAUUGUCAGAGGUGAAAUUCUUGGAUUUAUGAAAGACGAACUUCUGCGAAAGCAUUUGUCAAGGAUGUUUUCAUUA